RNAcentral lists this ribosomal RNA (393 nucleotides) under uncultured bacterium. Its description in RNAcentral is "bacterial SSU rRNA". It matches the Rfam family "Bacterial small subunit ribosomal RNA", at positions 28 to 417 of the family's 1533-position model. The record is from RNAcentral.
GACGAACGCUGGCGGCGUGCUUAACACAUGCAAGUCGAGCGGUAAGGCCCUUUCGGGGGUACGACGAGCGGCGAACGGGUGAGUAACACGUGGGUGACCUGCCCUCAGCUCUGGGAUAAGCCUGGGAAACUGGGUCUAAUACCGGAUAUGACUCCAUGACGCAUGUUGUGGGGUGGAAAGCCUUGUGCGGCUGAGGAUGGGCCCGCGGCCUAUCAGCUUGUUGGUGGGGGUGANGGCCUACCAAGGCGACGACGGGUAGCCGGCCUGAGAGGGCGACCGGGCCACACUGGGACUGAGACACGGCCCCAGACUCCUACGGGAGGCGAGCAGUGGGGAAUCUUGCGCAAUGGGCGAAAGCCUGACGCAGCGACGCCGCGUGAGGGAUGGACGGCC